Acanthosepion pharaonis is the source of this 109-nucleotide non-coding RNA. The record is from the annotation of a GenBank genome assembly. Lineage: Eukaryota; Metazoa; Mollusca; Cephalopoda; Sepiida; Sepiidae.
UAUGCUCAAAUCUUACUGAAAGCACUGGCUCUCAUUUGAACACUGAAGUUAAGAGGCAUUGAGCCCAGUCAGUAUUUAAAUGGGAGGCCACUUGGGCAUAACGGGUACU